CUCAGACAGGAUUCGAGGUCCCGCCCUUCAUUCCUCCACAUUUGUUUACACCUGAUUGCUUCAGAACAGAGCAGGAUGUUGAAUGUGUGCUGCGCGCCAGCGGCUCGAGACUCACAGGUGGGCCACGUGGCCAAGGAGGACGGAGCCGCGAUGGACUUGGCGCGUCUCCGAGAGCUUUAUAACCGGAGUAAAGAGACACAAAGGCUGCAAACUCGAGUUAUUUUGAGGGGCAAAGCAUCAAAGAAAGAAGAUGUUGGAGGUAAAUCUCUUGUAAACGUGGUUCCAAUUAGCCAGGAAGUGAGAAAUUGCACACCGUUUGAGGAACAGAUGCCCGUUAAACGCAUACUGUUUAAUUUAGCCGCUGACUUGGACAGUGACAAUAUUUUGUGGCGCACGCACCUGGGGAUGCAUCGGAUGAGCUCCAGCGUGCAAAGGGGAGGCGAAAAAGCUCCUGCAGGAAGAGUGGGCGGCCAGGAAUCCGCACAGACGCUCAUAUGCGUGGAGCGCAACAAGGCCUACGAAGAAGCCACUCGUGCGGAGAAGUCCGGUGAAACGCUGAGUGAACGAAGAAGUGCCGACGCAGACUGCUGGAAGCUGAUCGGUCCAACCCCCUUGUCCAGACGGCUGAGACAGUUGAGUUUAUCAGGGAACCAGUCACAAGGGAUGUCGUCCAGCUCGCAGCACUACCCCUUCCCUCAGCGCAAAUGGCAGAAGAAAUCUGAGGCUGCCAGGAGGCUUGGGAUGUAUUCAGUCACUGGAGAAGAAUGAAAUGCAGGUAGCUGGUAGUGUAGUGGUUAGAGGUGCUGCUUUUGAACCCAAAAGGUCAUGGGUUUGAAUCUCAUCUCAGGCUGUAGUACCCUUAAGCAAGGUACCUACCUGAAAUUGCCCAGUUGUAUAAGUGGGUGAAAAAAUGUAAGUAUAUGGCAGUAUAAAGUUACAUUUACUCAUUUAGCUGAUACUUUUCCUCCAAGGUACUUAAAAUGUUAAGGUAUUUAUCCAUCUGGGCAAUUUUAGUGGAGCAUUACAUUCAUUUAUUUAGCAGCCAUUUUUCUCCAAAGCAACUUCCAAUGAACUCUAUGUAGUGUUAUCAGCCCACACAUCUUAUUCACCGCAGUGACUUACACUGCUUACAUUGGGUCACUCAUCCAUACAUCAGUGGAACACUGGGUGAACCUGAACAGCAUGUCUUUGGACUAGGGGAGGAAAUCAGGCAGACACAGAGAAAACAUGCAAACUCCACACACACUGAGCAGGGAUUGAACCCCUGUCCUCUUGCACCACCCAGGUGCUGUGAGACAGCAGUGCUACUCACUGUGCCACCCACUAUUUUUUAGGGUAAAUAUCUUGCUCAAGGGUACUACAGCUGGAGGUGAGACUCAAACCAGUGACCUCGGUGUCCAAACUGAAGUAACUCUAACCACUACACUACCAGCUGUCUUUGUGGGAAAGAAAGAUGAAAGAGUGCCAAGCAAAAACAUGACAGUCUGUUCAACACACACUGAGAAAUGUGAUGCAAGACCCAGAAAAAAAGCACAUCUUUAUGCUAAUCAGAUGUUCAUUUGAUGUCCAGUACACUCAGGUCCUCUGGUCUGUGUUUGUAGCAAUUAUAUUGUAACGACCCGCAUUACUGUUUUAGGUGGGAAACCUGUUCAGUGUAAAUAGUUGCAUUGUGGGUAAUUUGUAAAUAGCAUGUGUAACCAGUAGGGGCAAUUCUGGGGGAAAUGAUGGGGUGACUGUCUGCCAGAGGAGGGAGAGGAGAGUCUAGGAG
This is a long non-coding RNA of Scleropages formosus (Asian bonytongue), 1768 nucleotides long. NCBI's taxonomy places the organism in Eukaryota, Metazoa, Chordata, Actinopteri, Osteoglossiformes, Osteoglossidae. The record is from Ensembl.